GAUGAACGCUGCCAGAAUGCUUAACACAUGCAAGUCUACUUGAACUUCGGUUUGGGUGGCGGACGGGUGAGUAACGCGUAAAGAACUUACCUCACAGUUAGGGACAACAUUUGGAAACGAAUGCUAAUACCUGAUAUUAUGAUUUUAGGGCAUCCUAAGAUUAUGAAAGCUAUAUGCGCUGUGAGAGAGCUUUGCGUCCCAUUAGCUAGUUGGAGAGGUAACGGCUCACCAAGGCGAUGAUGGGUAGCCGGCCUGAGAGGGUGAACGGCCACAAGGGGACUGAGACACGGCCCUUACUCCUACGGGAGGCAGCAGUGGGGAAUAUUGGACAAUGGACCAAAAGUCUGAUCCAGCAAUUCUGUGUGCACGAUGACGUUUUUCGGAAUGUAAAGUGCUUUCAGUUGGGAAGAAAAAAAUGACGGUACCAACAGAAGAAGUGACGGCUAAAUACGUG
RNAcentral lists this ribosomal RNA (454 nucleotides) under uncultured bacterium. RNAcentral describes it as "partial 16S ribosomal RNA". It matches the Rfam family "Bacterial small subunit ribosomal RNA", at positions 28 to 507 of the family's 1533-position model. The record is from RNAcentral.